This 3141-nucleotide long non-coding RNA is filed under the name Mus pahari (shrew mouse). Its description in RNAcentral is "lncRNA (MGP_PahariEiJ_G0005837.1)". The record is from RNAcentral. Lineage: Eukaryota; Metazoa; Chordata; Mammalia; Rodentia; Muridae.
CUUUAAACAGAGAUUUUCCUUAGGAUUUCAGAGUGCUGGCAAAACAAAAGAAAGAAAGAAAAAGAAUUGCUAGACGUGGAGCUGAGAGGGAAAUAGGGAGAGCAAAAGAAUUGGAUGAAAUCACAGUUGUCAUGAGGUAUAUUUGCAACAUGCCUACAUCAAGUUUAACUCUUGAAAGAAAACAGAAAUGGAAGGAAAGACCGGUGGAGUCACGUCUGACAAAAAGACAAGUGUCCUGUGCUCUAGAUUGGAAACUUAUUCUUAGUAGUCCCAUAACCAACUCAGGAUGUCACUGUUACAGAAAAGGAAGAGCAAAUGAAAGAACAUCUCUGCCUGGACUCCACCUCAUGAUCCAGUUCUGAUGAGGACCAUUGGACUAAAUCAAUUUGCUAUUCUGAUGACAAUUGAUCCUCAAUGGAGUAUCUGGAGGAAGAAUUCUACCACAAUAUACUUCUUAGCAACUCCCUGAUUUCAUCUUCAGGCUAUCUAACUCUGGUGGAUCUUAAUGUACCUUCUGUUUAAUUGGUUAUACAGACAUUCCUAACUAUGAGCAGUUGCAUUAUACAAUUUUUAUCAUUAUUUAUUUAAAUCAGUGUGUUUGUCUAGUAGCCCCACUUAUCUACAGGAUAUGCUACAAGACCUUAAGUAGGUACCACUUCUAUCAUGCUUCUCUCUGAACAUACUCUCUCAACUGCCUAACCAUAUCCUGACAGUAACAUUCGCUAUCUGAGGUACAGUAACAAAACUAUUAUGGAUUUUGUUUCUUGUCUUCAUUAUUUCACAGCCAGAACCUUUGUUAAUGUAGAUGCUAGCACCCUUGGGAAGGAAGUUGUUCUCUUUUCUAAGUUGAGAGCUCUGACCUUCCCACUUAAAUGUCCUUUUGGGUUUCUUGUCGACACAGAUGAAUUGCCAGCACUGUUACUUUUGUACUUUGGGGCCAAUAUUAAAUAAGGGCUGCCUGGACACUAGCACUGUAAUGGUAUGACAGUUAAUCUGAUUGCCAGCCACCACAUGAGUAAUGGGCAGGUAGAGUCUUCUGUGAGAAUUGCACAGACAAAGGGAUGGCUCAUUUCAGAUGGAGAGAGGAAGGAUGGUAAAUGGUUCCAUCAUGUGGUCAAGAAUAACUGACAAUUGAAAGCUUGUAGGAGGCUUAAUUUGGGAAAUUCCCAUUUAAUACUUUUGAACAAAAGGUGAUCUGAGUAACAAGCCACAGAAAGAGAAAAUUGUAAAAAAACAAGGCACUACUAUACUUAAAUAAAUUUUUCUAUGGGAAGAAUACCUUGAGCAAUUUAUAGAAUAAGCAGUAGUCUUUGAAGUCCUAUCAAAGCCUUGUAUACAUAUCUAGAUGCUACAUAUACUGUCAAUGUAAACAAAUCAUAUUUCAGCUAUGCUUAUUACAUACAGAAUUACUUUUUAAAAAGUAAGAAGUUGAACCCUUCUAGCAAAUACCAAGGACAUGUGACACGACAUGGCAAAGGUGUCUUCCUAUUGGGUACCUACAAGGCUAGAGACUCACCCAUUCAAUUGCACGUAAACCAGAAGCUUGUUACGUCAUCUUCUCACUCUAAUUCACAUGAAGGGACAGAGGACCAUGAUCUGCUUGGGAAAUAGGAAAUGAUUCUUCUCCACACUUUUCACAAAUAGGUUGUUUGCAAAACAUGUAAAGACGUGCUCUUAAGACAUCAGUGCAUAGGGUCACAGUGAUAGGUGCCAACCCAUUCCUAAUUUUGAUUAAUUUGUUCAUUAUAUCCACCCAACACAUCACUAAAUGCAGUAUUACUACACACAAGACUUAUAUUGUGGCUUAUAAUUUAGAAAGUACCUUCACAGUAUGCUUUAAUGUAAUGCCAACAAUAGUUCUCUCAGUUAGGUGUUUUAUCUACUAACAGUGACUGAGACUGUUGAGUGGAGUACUAGGCCAGAGGAUGCACUACUACUAAGUACUGAAGAUGCGAGUCUAAGCCAGAUUUUUAGAAAGUGUCGCGGAUGAUGCGUAUGAUGUGUAACAGGUGUGCCAAGCCCCCCACGUGGAGGUCAGAAGACAACUUGGUGAAGCUGAAUUUCUCCUUCCAGGUUUACAUGGAUUAAGGUCUUCAGGCUGCAUUGGAAGGUGGUAAGUACGCUUACCACUGAGCCAUCUGGCUAGUCUAAGCCAGACUUCUGAUACGCAACUUUAUUGCUCUUUCUGUUACAUCAGACUGACAGCAAAAUUCAUAUUGUCAAAUGACUAAAGGUUGGGUGCACAAAUGAACAUGGAGUACCUCUACAAGUCUUUCUUUUAGAGAACACAGAAUCCUUCUGAGUAUUAACUUACAGUUUCUUUAAGUCCACCAUUAUGGAAACAAUUGGAUUUUCUGCCAAGAACCAUUAAAGCUGAUUUGACAAGAAUGACGAGGCUCUUUGAGAGUUGAUUGACUGUCAGCACAAGGCUUUUAGAGCUUGCUAAAAUUGCAUCAACUAUAAGCGAAAGAAAUGGAUGGAUCUACAAAGAGAUUCAAAAGAAAGUUCGUGACAUAAAAAGCAAAUGGUAGAUUGGUCAAGUAUAUAUACAUUCAUCCAACAGCUCUCUGAUUCCUAUCAAAGUUCAUUUGUUUCGUCUACAACUUUCUAUGGUCUUCACACUCAGAAACUCCCUGAGGACUAAAUUGAUCAAUGAUGAUGGGGAAAAACAUCAGUUUGUUCUUAUUGAGAAACUUUCAGAAGAAAUAUUUAGCUGAGUCUUUUGUUGAGAUAUACCUUUGGUUUUCAUUUCCUGGUUAGAGCAUCUAAAUUGUUCUGUGUUUACAACCCUGUCAAUACAUCAACAGGGAGUGUCAACGGAUACCGAGAUCUUUGAAGGACACAGAUUUGUUGUUGGAUUCAGAAGGUGAGGUCUGGACUUCUUUCAUGAAACCACCUUUUGAAGAUCUAUAGGGAUGAUGAUGAAUUUAAUAUGAUUAUAAUUUUAAAGAAAAAAAGACAGCAAAGUUUUUAUUUCUUUUUUUUUCAACCAACAUAUCUAAUAUUGUAUCCAUACAACAUAUUUGAAUGCUCUAUACUUAAAGGGAAACAAACCGAUGAGCAAAUAUAAUUAUCUAUUUGUGGCUUUUCUCUAAUUGUAUAAAAUUCUAGGUAUCAACAAAAUUAAAAGUAGUUAUUGUC